CCUACGGGUGGCAGCAGUGAGGAAUAUUGGUCAAUGGCCGGAAGGCUGAACCAGCCAAGCCGCGUGAGGGAGGAAGGCGCUGUGCGUUGCAGACUUCUUUUGUCGGGGGAUAAAAGGCCGGACUUGUCCGUUUCUGAGGGUACCCUAUGAAUAAGCAUCGGCUAACUCCGUGCCAGCAGCCGCGGUAAUACGGAGGAUUCGAGCGUUAUCCGGAUUUAUUGGGUUUAAAGGGUGCGUAGGGGGGCUUUUAAGGCAGGGGUGAAAUUUUGCGGCUCAACCCUACCAUUGCGGUUGAAACUGGAAGCCUUGAGUGCGGCGGAGGCAUGCGGAAUGCGCGGUGUAGCGGUGAAAUGCAUAGAUAUCACGAAGAACCCCGAUUGCGAAGGCAGCGUACCAAGCCGCAACUGACACUGAGGCACGAAAGCGCGGGGAUCAAACAGGAUUAGAUACCCUAGUAGUC
This 460-nucleotide ribosomal RNA is filed under the name uncultured bacterium. Its description in RNAcentral is "partial 16S ribosomal RNA". It matches the Rfam family "Bacterial small subunit ribosomal RNA", at positions 338 to 795 of the family's 1533-position model. The record is from RNAcentral.